GAUGAACGCUGGCGGCGUGCUUAACACAUGCAAGUCGAACGGAGUACCCUUCGGGGUGCUCAGUGGCGAAUGGGUGAGUAACACGUAGGUGACCUGCCACGAAGUGGGGAAUAACGCCGCGAAAGCGGAGCUAAUACCGCAUGUGACCUGGCGUAAGCCAGGGGAAAGCUGUCCGCAAGGAUGGCGCUUGGUGAGGGACCUGCGGCCCAUCAGCUAGAUGGGAGGUAACGGCUCACCAUGGCGACGACGGGUAGGGGCCUGAGAGGGUGGACCCCCACCA
This 280-nucleotide ribosomal RNA is filed under the name uncultured bacterium. RNAcentral describes it as "partial 16S ribosomal RNA". It matches the Rfam family "Bacterial small subunit ribosomal RNA", at positions 28 to 313 of the family's 1533-position model. The record is from RNAcentral.